AACGAACGCUGGCGGCAUGCCUAACACAUGCAAGUCGAACGAGACCUUCGGGUCUAGUGGCGCACGGGUGCGUAACGCGUGGGAACCUGCCUUUAGGUUCGGAAUAACUCAGAGAAAUUUGAGCUAAUACCGGAUGAUGUCUUCGGACCAAAGAUUUAUCGCCUUUAGAUGGGCCCGCGUUGGAUUAGCUAGUUGGUGGGGUAAAGGCCUACCAAGGCGACGAUCCAUAGCUGGUCUGAGAGGAUGAUCAGCCACACUGGGACUGAGACACGGCCCAGACUCGUACGGGAGGCAGCAGUGGGGAAUAUUGGACAAUGGGCGAAAGCCUGAUCCAGCAAUGCCGCGUGAGUGAUGAAGGCCUUAGGGUUGUAAAGCUCUUUUACCCGAGAUGAUAAUGACAGUAUCGGGAGAAUAAGCACCGGCUAACUCCGUG
RNAcentral lists this ribosomal RNA (433 nucleotides) under uncultured bacterium. RNAcentral describes it as "partial 16S ribosomal RNA". It matches the Rfam family "Bacterial small subunit ribosomal RNA", at positions 29 to 507 of the family's 1533-position model. The record is from RNAcentral.